AUACGUAGGGGGCUAGCGUUAUCCGGAAUUACUGGGCGUAAAGGGUGCGUAGGUGGUUUCUUAAGUCAGGAGUGAAAGGCUACGGCUCAACCGUAGUAAGCUCUUGAAACUGGGAAACUUGAGUGCAGGAGAGGAAAGUGGAAUUCCUAGUGUAGCGGUGAAAUGCGUAGAUAUUGGGAGGAACACCAGUAGCGAAGGCGGCUUUCUGGACUGUAACUGACACUGAGGCAACGAAAGCGGUGGGGAGAC
RNAcentral lists this ribosomal RNA (249 nucleotides) under uncultured bacterium. Its description in RNAcentral is "partial 16S ribosomal RNA". It matches the Rfam family "Bacterial small subunit ribosomal RNA", at positions 523 to 771 of the family's 1533-position model. The record is from RNAcentral.